CACGUAGGGUGCGAGCGUUAUCCGGAAUUAUUGGGCGUAAAGAGCUCGUAGGCGGUUUGUCGCGUCUGCUGUGAAAACCCGAGGCUCAACCUCGGGCCUGCAGUGGGUACGGGCAGACUAGAGUGCGGUAGGGGAGAUUGGAAUUCCUGGUGUAGCGGUGGAAUGCGCAGAUAUCAGGAGGAACACCAGUGGCGAAGGCGGUUGCCUGGAGCUUUGCUGACGCUGAUGCGCGAAAGCGUGGGGAGCGAUCCGG
RNAcentral lists this ribosomal RNA (253 nucleotides) under uncultured bacterium. RNAcentral describes it as "partial 16S ribosomal RNA". It matches the Rfam family "Bacterial small subunit ribosomal RNA", at positions 524 to 776 of the family's 1533-position model. The record is from RNAcentral.